UACGGGGGGGGCAAGCGUUGUUCGGAAUUACUGGGCGUAAAGGGCUCGUAGGCGGCCAACUAAGUCAGACGUGAAAUCCCUCGGCUUAACCGGGGAACUGCGUCUGAGACUGGAUGGCUCGAGUGUGGGAGAGGGAUGCGGAAUUCCAGGUGUAGCGGUGAAAUGCGUAGAUAUCUGGAGGAACAUCGGUGGCGAAGGCGGCAUCCUGGACCAUGACUGACGCUGAGGAGCGAAAGCCAGGGGAGCAAACGGG
This 253-nucleotide ribosomal RNA is filed under the name uncultured bacterium. Its description in RNAcentral is "partial 16S ribosomal RNA". It matches the Rfam family "Bacterial small subunit ribosomal RNA", at positions 524 to 776 of the family's 1533-position model. The record is from RNAcentral.